GAUGAAGAACGUAGCGAAAUGCGAUACUUGGUGUGAAUUGCAGAAUCCCGUGAACCAUCGAGUCUUUGAACGCAAGUUGCGCCCGAAGCCAUCAGGUUGAGGGCACGUCUGCCUGGGCGUCACAUAUCGUUGCCCAAUGCCUAUUCCAGUGCAAUAGGAAUUUCUAGGGCGAAUGAUGGCUUCCCGUGAGCGUUGUUGCCUCGCGGUUGGUUGAAAAUCGAGUCCUUGGUAGGGUGUGCCAUGGUAGAUGGUGGUCGAGUUAGAACGAUACCGAUCAUGUGCAUGCUCCCCAAAAUAUGGCCUCUAUGACCCACACGCGUCUUUUGACGCUCAUGACGAGACCUCAGGUCAGGCGGGGCUACCCGCUGAAUUUAAGCAUAUCAAUAAGCGGAGGA
This 395-nucleotide unclassified non-coding RNA is filed under the name soil metagenome. Its description in RNAcentral is "partial contains 5.8S ribosomal RNA, internal transcribed spacer 2, and large subunit ribosomal RNA". The stretch from base 1 to 122 matches the Rfam family "5.8S ribosomal RNA", at positions 35 to 154 of the family's 154-position model. The record is from RNAcentral.